GUGCCCAUGGUGUAGUGGUAACACAGCUCCCUGUGGAGGAGCUAUCGCCGGUUCGAAUCCGACUGGGCACCCCA
RNAcentral lists this transfer RNA (74 nucleotides) under Candidatus Vogelbacteria bacterium. Its description in RNAcentral is "tRNA-His". It matches the Rfam family "tRNA". From Rfam's summary of the family: Transfer RNA (tRNA) molecules are approximately 80 nucleotides in length. Lineage: Bacteria; Candidatus Vogeliibacteriota. The record is from RNAcentral.